GGGGUCGACUUGGUUUUGACAGCGAGUCUAAUUGAGUUGUAAGCACGUCGAGCGCUGGGAUAUAGCUCGUAAAUCUCAUAUUUCACACUUUUUUAAACGGCGAAGAUAACUACGCCUUGGCUGCAUAAUCCGAAUCACAGUAGGAUUUGCUUAGUCCCUACAAGGUAGGGAGCCAAGAUGUCCCGCGAAGGCCUUGAUUUACGGCAUUCGCAACCGGGGCACCGAUAAAGUAAAUAUAGGAACUGUAGGACCUUGAUGCAGUUUUGAAAUCUAAUUGAGGAUACGGAAAAAGUUGGGUAGUUUUCAGCCAGACUUUUUCCUGACAAUCUAAGUGAAAACUAAGCGUGUAGAAGGCAAUUUAAUUGCUUGUUUGGACGAGGGUUCGAACCCCUCCGACUCCACUU
RNAcentral lists this transfer-messenger RNA (404 nucleotides) under Salegentibacter salinarum. Its description in RNAcentral is "Standard tmRNA". It matches the Rfam family "transfer-messenger RNA". Rfam says of the family: Bacterial tmRNA, also known as 10Sa RNA or SsrA, is named for its dual tRNA and mRNA-like properties. Its role is to liberate the mRNA from a stalled ribosome. Lineage: Bacteria; Pseudomonadati; Bacteroidota; Flavobacteriia; Flavobacteriales; Flavobacteriaceae. The record is from RNAcentral.